CAAGUCGAGCGCUGAUUGUUGGGUAGCAAUACUCGGCAGUCGGAGCGGCGCAAGGGUGCGUAACACGUGGGCAAUCUGCCAUGAAGUUGGGGAUAACUUGCUGAAAGGCGAGCUAAUACCGGGUACGACCGUUGGGAGGCAUCUCCCGACGUUCAAAGUUGGGGACCGUAAGGCCUGACGCUUCAUGAUGAGCCCGCGGCCUAUCAAGGUAGUUGGCGGGGUAACGGCCCACCAAGCCGAAGACGGGUAGCUGGUCUGAGAGGACGACCAGCCACACUGGAACUGAGACACGGUCCAGACACCUACGGGUGGCAGCAGUCGAGAAUUUUUCACAAUGGGCGCAAGCCUGAUGGAGCGACGCCGCGUGGGGGACGAAUGGCUUCGGCCCGUAAACCCCUGUCAUUCGCGAUCAACCCUUGCGAUUUAAAAGAUGGCAAGCUGAUAGUAGCGGAAGAGGAAGGGACGGCUAACUCUGUGCCAGCAGCCGCGAU
Molecule: ribosomal RNA, 491 nt
Filed under: uncultured bacterium
Lineage: Bacteria
Description: bacterial SSU rRNA
Rfam family: Bacterial small subunit ribosomal RNA
Source: RNAcentral